RNAcentral lists this ribosomal RNA (885 nucleotides) under uncultured Pseudomonadota bacterium. RNAcentral's name for it is "bacterial SSU rRNA". It matches the Rfam family "Bacterial small subunit ribosomal RNA", at positions 12 to 917 of the family's 1533-position model. Lineage: Bacteria; Pseudomonadati; Pseudomonadota. The record is from RNAcentral.
UUUGAUCAUGGCUCAGGACGAACGCUGGCGGCGUGCUUUAUACAUGCAAGUCGAACGAGAAUCUGACUUCGGUCAGAGGAAAGUGGCGGACGGGCGAGUAAAAUGUAGAGAAUCUGCCCUUGAGUGGGGGACAACAGUUGGAAACGAUUGCUAAUACCCCAUACGAGAUAAGCUGAAAUGUUUAUCUUGAAAACUCCGGUGCUCAAGGAUGAGUCUGCAUCUGAUUAGCUAGUUGGUGGUGUAAUGGACUACCAAGGCGAUGAUCAGUAGCUGGUUUGAGAGGAUGAUCAGCCACAAUGGGACUGAGACACGGCCCAUACUCCUACGGGAGGCAGCAGUAGGGAAUUUUGCGCAAUGGGGGAAACCCUGACGCAGCAACGCCGCGUGAUUGAUGAAGCCCUUCGGGGUGUAAAGAUCUGUCAGUAGGGACGAAUAAUGACUGUACCUACAGAGGAAGCACCGGCUAACUCCGUGCCAGCAGCCGCGGUAAUACGGGGGGUGCGAGCGUUGUCCGGAAUCAUUGGGCGUAAAGAGUUCGUAGGUGGUAUGUUAAGUCUGGUGUUAAAUUCCGAAGCUCAACUUCGGUACGGCACUGGAUACUGGCAAACUUGAAUGCGGUAGAGGUAAAGGGAAUUCCUGGUGUAGCGGUGAAAUGCGUAGAUAUCAGGAGGAACAUCGGUGGCGUAAGCGCAUUACUGGGCCGUAAUUGACACUGAGGAACGAAAGCCGGGGUAGCAAAUGGGAUUAGAUACCCCAGUAGUCCCGGCCGUAAACGAUGGAUACUAGGUGUUGCGGGUAUCGACCCCUGCAGUGCCGUAGCAAACGCGAUAAGUAUCCCGCCUGGGGAGUACGCACGCAAGUGUGCAACUCAAAGGAAUUGACGGA